Molecule: unclassified non-coding RNA, 387 nt
Filed under: Hevea brasiliensis (rubber tree)
Lineage: Eukaryota; Viridiplantae; Streptophyta; Magnoliopsida; Malpighiales; Euphorbiaceae
Source: RNAcentral
GCUUUAUGUGCUGCACAAGGUCUUACUUUCUUGCAUGAAGAAGGGCCUUUCCAGGCAAUGUACAAUGAAUUCUCUACUGGAAACAUACAGAUCGAUAAAGAUUUUAGUGCAAAGCUAUCAGGAUAUGGCUGGGUUGGUCAAAUUCCUGAGACAGAGAUCUCUGAAUAGUUCAGUGGCUGUGGCAAAUCUCUCUUUGGAGACACUGGAGAGAGGGCUGUUGAAGUCUCAGGACUCCAAAGAGCAAUGUAUGGAGUUUUGGAGUUGUUCUGCUUGAAUUACUUACUGGCCGGAAGAAUCUUGAUAAUCGCCAUCCCAAGGAAGAGAGGAACUUGGUUAAGUGGAGCCGGCCUUUCCUCGCUGAUGACUGUCGAUUGUCACUAAUUAUGG